GUGCGACAAAGAAGAACAUCACAUAUAAUGACAAAGUGUAUAGAGAUAAAUGUCACAAGUAUCAUUAUUACAUAACGGAAGUCUGACAAAAAUAUAUGAUAACAAUAAAACAAACUAAUAUUAUUCCUUGGCGCCAUUAAGUUGACUGGGAGACGCCACCUAGAUCAACUCGUACUCCUCAUUAUAGGACUCCUCCUGGACCACCUGCUCUUCACCUGUGGGGGAUUUAUAUAUCGCAAGAGUGAGCUCACAAAAAAUCAUAUCUCAACAAGUUGUGGGGAAUAAUGUGCAUGAACUCACAAAAGGUGGGAGUUCAUGUGAAGUGUAAGACUGAUCAACAGAUAAUGGUUAAAGUUGAGCAUUGCUUUUAAUAAGUUGGUCAAAUUUUAUUAGUAGUUACUAAAUGUAAGUAAAUACUAAACCAGAGUAAUAAAUAGAUCAAAUUAAUAAUAAACCACAAUGCGAUGCAAAUGACAAACUAAAUUUAAUUCCAUAAAUUAAUCAUGUGAGGGUCCGAGCCGCUCAUGACCGUGAGCAUGGCUGAUAUACCAGUUUUACACUCUGCAGAGGUUGCGCAUCUAUACCAACAAGUCAUGUUACCCAUCUGCCAAGGGAUCGCGACUUCCCAUACACCUCUACCAAGGAAGCGAGGCAGGGUAACGCUACGAGGCCUUUACAAAGUUUCACUAGCUUCAGAAAACCUGCUACAGUUCUAUAAAGCUCCAAUGUAGGGAUCCCUCGCCCAACCGCCAUCGCAGCAAAAUCAACCCAAGGACCUCCCUACACUGAUCACUCCCCCCUUGCCCUUUUCGGGUAAGGCAGUACUCUACUAGCUUUCCUAAUUAGUCAGCCAAGGGCGUCCUAUACCACCUUUGUGGUAGCACUGUUUUCCCGGGUGGUCGCACCACGUUCCAAUUAACAUAAUGAUCUUAUCAUGAACAGUAAAUAAAAACUCAUCAUAAAAGCAUGAUCAUCAAUAAUGUGUAUCUCUAUACCUAAAACCACAUAAAGCAAUAGCAGGUACUACCCAAAAAUUCAGUGGCAAAAAAGGUAUAAGAUAGCCAAACUAGGGUAACCUAUUGGGUCCCAUCAAAAUUAACCUAUGCAGAUCAUUAUGAUUAAUAAGAACAUUAUUGGGUAAAUAAAAGUGAUCAAGGGCACAACUUGCCUUCAACGAGCUCCUGCUCAGCAGUCUCCACCUACUGAACACCCGGAUCUUUUGUGCCUUGCUCGUCUACUCGUAACAGUACAAACAAACAUGGUAUAGCAGAAAUUAACAUCACACUAAACAGUAGAACAUAAUGCAUGAUAAUAUUCUACGCGUCGUAACGAGAUCAUAGGAAUAAGAAUCACUAAAUUCGGAGCUACGAUUAUCGAGUUAUGAAUUUCCGAAGUUAUUAAGUGCUUGGUGUGGAAUAACUCAAGUGAAUAAUUUUAACCUAAGUUUCAUGGAUAAACAGAGUUACUAGGUGAUGAACAAUAUUAUUACAGAAUUAUUGCAAUUGGAAUGGAGUAAAAAGGAACUAAAAUGAAUUUUCUAUGAAUUAAAUGAGUUUAUGGAAUUACUUAUAUACUAAAAAUCAAUUUCUAUAAUCAUUUAUCCGAUUUCUUUGUUCUCUGGACUGCGCAUACGAUAACCAGAAAGUUUGGGGGCUAACUCGUGAAAUUCCCUAGACUCAGCUUACUCAGAGUUGGACCACGGGUUGAUUCAGAUAAUCUUCAAGGACUCUUUUAUAAAUGUACAGAGGCCAAGGGGGUACGCAGAGCUGUAGGCCGUUAGAUCUCCACGCAUCGGCCUGGAUUAGAUGUCCUUUAAAAAUGAACCGGUACGUUAUGUCGACCGUAGGAUCCGAGAUCCACGGUCUGGGUUUUAUUAACGUACGAUCUACUGCAUCCGUUAGAUCAACAAUGUACGGUCAAGAUCUUGCCAGCUGAAAGAAUACUAAAAGAACCUAAUCACGAUUGCCCAUCCAUCGAUCCUUGGCCAGGAUUCGCUGCUACGAAGAGGUAUCCCAGGUUUAAAUCAGAGCCGAUCAUCCCAAGGUCAACGGCUCCAGGUAUUUCCCCCAAUCCCUCCACUGAACACGGCGGCGGCACCGCGUUACCAUGGCAGAGAAGUCUGGCGAGCCCCCCCCCCCUCAUGGCGCUAUGGUGCUCCGAGUCACUAUGGACAGGUGUAUCACAUUCCUACAAACGCGGUGAAGGUGGUCGAGGGUCAUACCGAGGGGCUGGAGCGACGACGAGGACUGACCACGCGGUACAGCGGCUGCCGCAGUAGAGGAGCACCACGACGAGGAAUUGCUCGACUCCGGGGCAAGAUUCGCCAAAUUCGGUGGGAGCCGAAGCCUGUCCGCGCCCAACAGGCCCUCGGGUUUCAGCAUGGAAAGUCUAGUCACGACGCCGGCGAAGGACAGUAGCGACGGCGGGGUUUCACUCGCUUAGUUCCCUGUGAUGGCAGAGAGACGGGUACGUGCAACUUUUUGAGUCUCCAAGAGAGCUUUUGGGUCUGUUUGGUUGGGCUGUGGCUGUGAAAAAAGUUGUUGUGGGCUGUGAGCUGUGGAAAAAGCUGCUGUAGGCUGUAAGCUGUUAAAAUGCUAAAAAUCGUUUGGUGAAAACCACUAAAAGUCAU
Molecule: long non-coding RNA, 2629 nt
Filed under: Zea mays
Lineage: Eukaryota; Viridiplantae; Streptophyta; Magnoliopsida; Poales; Poaceae
Description: long non-coding RNA (ZMAY_LNC001178)
Source: RNAcentral